CAUACAGGAGGGCAGCAUGCUACAGAACACAGAGUAAUGGGUGUGGAGCGUUGGGGAAAGGACCUCCCUUUGCCCAUGAUCUUAUCUGGGAGGUACAGAUCAGGGGCCCUUCUGUUUUGAUGGGAGUUUUCUAUACUCUGCAGAGAGAAGGGACGCUGGAGACUGUGAGAUUGUGCUCUACGCUGGGCUGUCCUGUAUUUUCAUCCUUCUCUUCAUCCAGUUGUUGAUCUUGCUCUGGAGAAAGUGCCCCAUCAGAGGGAGAGCUGUGCGAAGAGGGAAUCCAAUACCUAUGAGGCAGAUCCCACAGACUGAAUAUGCGAGUCUGCCGUACAACAACAGCAAUGCUCCUCGGUGACUGAUGUAGUCUCACAAAAGUGGUUUAUAUUUUGUAAUUAAGAGAAAAAAGAAUGAAAGAGAAACCGAGAGAAAUACAGAAAGUCUCAUGUUUCUAAUGUGCUAUGAUGUGAUGUGAGUUUCCUUGAAAUACAACCACUUCCAGGCUCACUUUUCUGAACCCAUAUUCUGGGCUGACAUCUCCAUUCUUGCAAAAAAGCCACAUGGGAUCAUUAGCGAUUUGCCUGGAGGUUCAUGGGGCAUUGGGUUUACAUCUCAUCUCAAACAUGUCACUUCCCCCACUGUAGCGCCUUGUCACAGGGUUCACUCACCCCUAGGGUUCCUGCU
Molecule: non-coding RNA, 681 nt
Organism: Chrysemys picta bellii (western painted turtle)
Lineage: Eukaryota; Metazoa; Chordata; Testudines; Emydidae
Source: RefSeq, a predicted model, not a curated record